RNAcentral lists this long non-coding RNA (936 nucleotides) under Homo sapiens (human). Its description in RNAcentral is "long non-coding RNA NONHSAT212513.1". The record is from RNAcentral. Lineage: Eukaryota; Metazoa; Chordata; Mammalia; Primates; Hominidae.
UUGUUCUGUAAUAGAUGCUGUGAGAGAAGUAAGGAAAUAUUCCUCAGUUCAUACCAUUGAGAAGAGCUCCACCAGCAGACCUGAUGCCUAUGAACACACACAGAUGAAACUUUUUAGGUCUCAAAGAAAUCUUUACAUUUCUGGAUUUUCCCUAUUUUUUUGGCUAGUUUUGAGACGUCUGGUUACGCUUAUUACUCAACUGGCAAAAGAACUGUCAAACAAAGGUGUACUUAAAACUCAAGCAGAAAAUACUAACAAGGCUGCCAAAAAAUUUAUGGAAGAAAACGAAAAACUAAAAAGGAUUUUGAAAAGCCAUGGUAAAGAUGAAGAAUGUGUUUUGGAAGCAGAAAAUAAAAAACUAGUAGAAGACCAGGAGAAACUGAAAACUGAAUUAAGGAAGACUUCAGAUGCCCUUUCUAAGGCACAAAAUGAUGUGAUGGAAAUGAAGAUGCAGUCAGAGAGACUUUCGAAAGAAUAUGAUCAACUCCUGAAAGAACACUCUGAACUUCAGGAUCGUUUAGAAAGAGGCAACAAGAAAAGACUGUGAACUUUAUAAAAGACACUUGCAAUAUACUGUGUCAAAAUGAUAAUUUUGUUAUGUUAGCCUCUAGAAAAUUUAAGUUCAGAAAAAUGCACUAUGACCGGUUCGUAAUUUUUUUAAUGCCACACAUAGGUUGUAUUGUAAUGGCAUUAUCAAAAUAUUUGAUGAUGUUUCAGAUAUAUUGCAAAGUCUGUAUUCCAGCUCUUAAGAAAAAUAUAAGCAUGUUAAAUACCAUAUUUACAUAUUGAUAAUGUCAUUGGUAUAUGGUGGCUGUUUACCAAUAAAAGGAAAAAAUUCAUUAACCGGUUGCUUCCAAAAUUAGAAGUUUUAAGUUGCAUGAAACCAUUAAUAGCCUUGAAAGCUUUGAUAAGUUUUCAGUAAUAAUAACCUAUUUA